RNAcentral lists this long non-coding RNA (794 nucleotides) under Equus asinus (donkey). RNAcentral describes it as "lncRNA (ENSEASG00005035052.1)". Lineage: Eukaryota; Metazoa; Chordata; Mammalia; Perissodactyla; Equidae. The record is from RNAcentral.
GAGAAAUCAGGAAGAAGCCAGUUUAUAUAAGCGUCACAGUCUCUGCUGUGGUGGCCAGAAUAAUUACCCCCCUGCCCUAUGCCAUCCAUGUCCUAAUUCCUGGAACUUGUGAAUAUGUCACCUUUAUGUGGCAAAAAGGGACUUUGCAGAAGUGAUGAAGUUGCAGAUCUUGAGAUGGGGAGAGUAGCCUGCAUUAUCCAGGAACAGUCUCCUCAGGAGGAAUUGAGCACCGACGAUCCACAGUGAGAAGGGACAGCAUUUAAUGGAACUAUGGUCUCUGCACAAAACCAACUGUGAGGCUGUUGAUGCCCAGGUUCCACUCAGUGCUCAAGAACAGGGGAGCUCUGCGGCCCAGGGUGUGGAUACUGUGCCGUGGCUGGUUUCUCCAUGUCUGUGAAGGCGGCCGCACCCUCCUUCCCUAAACCACAGGCUGGGGCCUCUUGAGAUCAGAAACCAGUUCCCACACACUUGCCUCUUGUUAGAACAUCCUCCUCACUGGCUGAAGAGAAACUAAGAGAACUCCUGGAAGAGCUGGCUCAGAGAUUUAAAUAGGCCAGGCCAGACCAGACGCACGGCCAGAAUCGCCUUAGAGAAGACAAGACGGUGUGGACUAGGGGCCAGUGAGCAGACUCGAAAGAUGCCACUGUAGCAAUAAGGAACCUCCAUGGGAUGGGAACUUUUACCUUAAAAUAAAUAUGACUGGGGCUGGGAACAAGCUAACCUUCAUCUUCUGCAGCACAAUCUUUUCCUGUGUAGAUCUUAUUUGAGAAUGUGGUUUUCUUAAAAAUUCUACG